Molecule: long non-coding RNA, 3867 nt
Organism: Bombus impatiens (common eastern bumble bee)
Lineage: Eukaryota; Metazoa; Arthropoda; Insecta; Hymenoptera; Apidae
Exons: 4
Source: RefSeq, a predicted model, not a curated record
GGUUAAAUAGUUGGCAUACUAUUAUUGCUGAUUACAUUUUUCACAUUUACUUAAUUAGUGAUUACUUCAAUUAAAUUAAUCAACAUAAUAAACAUCAUAUAUACAGAUAAUGUCAAUAUUUUACUACAGUCUACAAUUUAUACAAUUAAUCAAAUCGACACACUAAAAAGCAAUCAGACAAAUAACUGUAUCUUCAAGCAGUAUUCUAAAAAAUUCAGAAUUUACAUAAUUUAUACGUACGAAUAUAAAUCACGUUCUUUAUGGCCGAGGAAACGUAGCGGUAAUUCGAUUCCACGUAACAAAAAUAGUCAGUCUUGUAUUUACCCUAAUACAGGCGUUGCUGGGACUCGCGAUUCAUUAUAAUUAACGAAAACCGUGGUAUGCCAAUACGAUGAUGGACUCAAUUAGAAAAUGGCGUGGUUGGGGGUGGUUGUGUACAUCGAAUGCGCUCUUCCUUCUUCGUCUGUGGUUCAUCGACGAACACGCGCAGGCAUCGCUGGUAGAUAUUUAAUUAAAGUUGUUUGCGCGACCAAGUUUGGAAACUUUGGGAAUAAGUUACCAGCGGGAAUCAGCGAAGGGGCCAUUUAAUUGUCCUCGCGUUUAAUGCGUCGUAUGGCCCGGGAGUUAUACUCGUCAUCAUGUCACCGGAAGUCGCCGGAUGGGUGGGCUGAGUAGUAAACGCGUCAACGGGCAAGAAAAGAACUACACGAGCGUGUUGCGAUUUUGAUGUUGAAAAGUAUCUCGUCCUUAACCCAUUUGCACCGGUUUCUUUUAUAGCGUAGCGUUGGCAAGGUGCUACACGCGAAACGUUAAUUUACUCUGCCGCAUACACAUAUAUACAUGUAUAUAUGUAAAUAUAUAAAUAUACUUUUAUCGCAAUUACACAGGGACAAAUUUUGUACGUCACGCUUUUUUCAUGUUCCUCGAAGUUGGCGGUGAUAUCACAAUGAUAUUUUUAAUUUGCGCCGAUAUCAAAGCCGAAUCCGCGCGUCCGUCGCCGUUGUUUUACGCCGCUCGUAAUUAUACGAAGACACGCUGCAGGCUUCCAUUCGAAUCGUUGAUUUUAAAUGACAGAAUCGAUACCGAUGUAUUAAUAUAAUGGACGUUGGCCGAGGUAGAGUAAGCCUUUCCUUUCUUGUCCUACCGAUUUGUAGAAGUAUGCACUCGCGACAUCGGUGAGUCGCGAUUUAAUUGAUGCUGCUCGCGAAUUAAUUACGCGCUAGUAGUCGAGAAAAUUCCUGCAUCUCGGAUUAAGUUGAACGCUUUGAAGCGUGUCUGCGAUUACGUAGAUUACCGUCGUCCUCGAUGAGGAUAGAAUUCGUUUCUUUCAAGUCGCUCCAUUUCACGCGCUAAUAGGUUCGCGGUGUUUCGCGCACUCGUGUUACGCGACGUCGCGUUUACAGAUGCGAUUCACUUAAAAACCAAGCUCUGUCGUCAGCGGAUUUCAUUUUCUCUCUUUUUCUCUUCUGUCUUUUUCCUCCCCCGUCUUUUCUUUUUUUAUUUCACCGCGAAGCGACUCGAUUAUACCAACCGACUAAAGCUUGAUAUCAAAAGCAUUAUAGAUUCAGACGUAUCCAAGUAAGCGCGAGCGAAGACGAGGAAAAACGGAAAAAAGGAAAUUUCGCGACCCAGCUGAAAUAUCCCUUUAGAAUAUCAGCGGGUGAAAAUCUUUUUUCUUGAGUUACAAAGAAGCUCGGCGACGCGUUCUUCCUGAAAUAAAAUAACCGAUAAGUGAUCCGUGUCGGUGUGGACAGAGCCUUAACAUGAGAAACGAGAGGCCAAGUGAUCGCAUAAACGUAUUCGUGUCAAAAGCAGCUCCGGUCGAGACCCGAGUUAUCCUCUGACCCCACUCUGUCAUCUCGAACUUACUUCGCCUCCUCUUCGUAUCACCAAACCGUUAUUUUCGGCCAGGUUUCCCAUUUUCUUCCCGAUAUUCUUCCGGGCAAAUGAUUCGAAUACUUUACAUAUACAUUUUAAAACAAACAUAUGUACCUACUAGCUGAGAAUAAAGCGUUUCUAUGCAAGACUAGUUGAUAAUAUAUAAUUACAUCAUUUAAUAUGAUUAUAUGUUUUUAAUUAAACGAGGAUGACGGAAAAUAUCAACUCUUUUCGAACAUUUUCUUUCGCUCUGAUUUUUCUCUGCUUACCUUUUGAAACAAUAUCUUGACAAAAUUUUUAUUUGAUUUUCAUUCGGAUAAUCACCGGAAUUCAUCUUGAUUUCAAAAAAUUGCAAAAAUUGAUAAGCGUUUGCCAAUGAGGAUCUUGAAAUCUUCAAAUAGAAUUACUUAAAACACAUAAAUAAAUUUACUUUCCAAAAUUCUAUGCUACAGAUUUAAUAUAACAUUUCUGCACUAGUUAUUUCUAAGUGACCAUUUAUAAAAUAAUUUCAAUGCAAUAUACAUUUAAACAACAAUCACGCAAAUUUCUUCCCAUUUAAAAUGUUUUUCGCCUAUCCUAUUCUUAGCAUAACAUUUCCUCUCUAUCAAAGGUAGAAAUUCGCGUUUUUCCAUUUAAAAUAGAGAAACGUUUAAUAAAAUACCGCGACGGUUGGUGCACGGCAUUCUUUAGUAUCGAAUGCUUACGUAAUAAUACGUGGUCGCGUUGGCGCGUCUACUCCUACGAACCGUGCGCGUUCUAUAUCCACGGAAAUUCUCGAGCGCGGUGCAUCGGUGCACUUUAAAGCUCGCGGUUGUAUAUUUCCUCCCGUGCACCGAACACCUCGCACUUGAGCCUUGUCACAAUAAAACAUCGGUCGCGCUUCCGCGGCGUUGCUCGCUCACUGUCGCGAAACAAAAAUGUUUCGCCGCGGAACGUCGUGCAAUUAAGGACACAGAAUCCCUUGCCGAUAAACUUUGUAACGUAAGCCCUGACUAAGUUUAAUCGUUUAGUCCGUAUCGCUUUUACGCUUGGAAAAAAUUAAACAGCUGUUCUAUUUAAAUGAUACAUUUACAGCGACAUAGUAAUUUUGCAGAUAGGUAUAAGAAUAGUUAUGAAAAAUAUCCUUGUUUACCUGAAUGAAAAUUUGCUUGUUAUCGUAAAUUCACGAUAAAUCCAGACUCGACGCGAGACCUCUUAAGGACUUCGUAGCAGGGUUAUAUAUCAAUCACAGAGAAAGCUAAUAGGGGAAUGGAGCAAGACAACAUCCUCACGUGAGAAAUUCAUGGAAAACGUGGUAUCUUUCACGCGUGCCGCGUGAACACGUGCAUCCUCAAAAUAGAACGCAAAUAUUGUUGACGCGAAAUGGGAAUUAAUAGAGAGGAUCUGAAAUACUGAAAAGACAAAUACAGAUGUGGCGUAUCUACUGUUCUGCAUGCAAACAGCCAUAUUGACAAUAAGCCUUCGAUAAGCGAAGCAUUUGCGUGCAUGCAUACGUUCAAUCAUUGAUGAUUGCUACAAGAGCAAACGAAUGUAAUAACGAUUUUACGUAAUAAUCAGCCUGAUAGGAUGCAUUCGUUUCUGUCAUACCUAUCAUAAAAAUUGCUGGUUGAAAUCCUAUUAUUGGAUAUGAUCGUUUACGACCUUGUGUAUGGAUUCACGUGCGUAGGAUGUUUGGCCAGUCAGUGAAACAACUACACAUUCUCGGGGAUCAGUAGAUGUUUCCUGUAAUGAACAGACUCUACUGUUCAUAGGACGACAUAUGUAUUUCUUUAACUUGUUUUUAUUAUGGACUUUUGUUGACUUUUUUUUAUUAUGGAAUAAUUGUUUAAUUUACCAUUCAUUUAUAUAUUUUUAAUUGAAUUUUAAAAAAGUUGGUCAAAUAUUAAAAAGUACUAUGAAAAGGGAAUAGAAUUAUGCUUUGUGAUAUUGUAAAAUAUAUUAAUAUUCAAUUAAUUUAUAUAAAAGUUGAAAUAUAAGAAUAAUAAAUUA